CUGGACCAUGGCUUUUGUCCAUUUUAAGUUCAUAAAUUGCCUUUAUAAUCUCAUCCGCAGUAAUAUCUGCAUCUAGUUCAUCAAAAACACAUUCAUUAUUAAUCACUUCGGGUCUCUUAUUGCUAUUCGGCGCACUUGAUACAAGUUCUUUGAAAUAUUCAAAAAAGUCAGUAAUGUUUAAAUCACAUUUCCUCUGAUUUUUUUCCCUAAAUAAUGAAUAAAAUUUUCUUGGAUUGUCUUUCUUUAGUUUACACAACAUAUAGCCUUCCUGUCGUUUGUAACUACAGUACGUUUGAGCUUGCAUUCAUACUUCUUGUAAGCUUUUUUGGCACUGUUCAAAUCUAUAUGACUAUUAAAUGUUUUUUUACCAUUAAAAGUAUGUAAUUUUUUUACAAUAAUUGGCAUAUAGCUCUUUACACUUCUGGUCAAACCAUGGUUUAUCAGUAUUUACUCUCUGAUUUUGGGAAUUUCGCUUUAAUUUCGCUUUUACUUUUGGCAUUUGUUUGAAAAAAGGAGCUGUCACAUUUGUUAAGCACUGAGUGAAGUUAUUUAUGCACAAGUCCAUACCAUCCUGAGACGCUAUGUCCAUAUUAGCUAUCGUUGAACUUAAAUCAUCAGCAUUAACUAGUAGGGCAUUAUAGCAU
Molecule: long non-coding RNA, 644 nt
Filed under: Mytilus galloprovincialis (Mediterranean mussel)
Lineage: Eukaryota; Metazoa; Mollusca; Bivalvia; Mytilida; Mytilidae
Source: RNAcentral